UACAGAGGGGGCAAGCGUUAUUCGGAAUUAUUGGGCGUAAAGGGCGCGUAGGCGGCUUUGCAAGUGACGGGUGAAAUCCCUCGGCUUAACCGAGGAACUGCCUGUCAGACUGCAUGGCUUGAGACCGGGAGAGGUGAGUGGAACUCCCAGUGUAGCGGUGAAAUGCGCAGAUAUCGGGAGGAACACCAAUGGCGAAGGCAGCUCGCUGGGACGUUACUGACGCUGAGACGCGAAAGCGUGGGGAGCAAACAGG
Molecule: ribosomal RNA, 253 nt
Filed under: uncultured bacterium
Lineage: Bacteria
Description: partial 16S ribosomal RNA
Rfam family: Bacterial small subunit ribosomal RNA
Source: RNAcentral